This 4824-nucleotide long non-coding RNA is filed under the name Capsella rubella. Its description in RNAcentral is "long non-coding RNA (CRUB_LNC000789)". The record is from RNAcentral. Lineage: Eukaryota; Viridiplantae; Streptophyta; Magnoliopsida; Brassicales; Brassicaceae.
CAAAAACAAAAACAUCAAAAACAAAUAAAGUAGAUUUGAGAAGUAACAAUGGAGGACAAGUGAGUGAAAUAUUCUCUGGAAGUGGAUGUUGGUGAAGGAGGAGAAACAGAGUUUGGCAUUAAAGACGGACAAGAGCGACAGAGGUUGAGUGUGGUGAAGAAAGAGGACCAGAUUUCUGUUGAUAAUCGACGGACAAGAGCAACAGAGGUUAGUCCAUAAUUAAAUGUUGGUUCAAUAAUAGUAACAAACAUUAAAUAGGCCGGUAAAACCUCGGAUGUGGCAUUUAGUAGUGGCGCAGUGGUGGGAAUUUAAGGUUGUUGGUGGUUGAAAUAAAUGUUAACCUUUGAUGUCCAGCAGGAAGAUGGUUCGGGAGAUGGACAAGACGGUUUGUGUUCUAGAAGGAAGAUGGACGUAUUCUACUACAGGUGCGUGGAAGUUUAAAGUCCGUAGUGGACAAAUGGGAAGAUGUAUGUCCAUCAAGAAAGAUACAAGAUUUGAAGGGUUGAAAAGUUUGGUAGCAGAUGUUUUGGGUGUGAAGUCAGCUGAGCAUCGAUUGGCUUUAAGCUUCUGGUAUCCAGCGGAAACAACUGCCUUCACGCAAGUAAAGAUGCCUCCUAUCUCAAUAACAAAUGAAGUGGAAUUGGGGUUGUUUAAGAUGAAGCAUCGAGAGUACGGUGGACUUUAUUUGUACGCAACUCUGAUGGGAGAAGGUGAAGAAGGGAUAUUGGCUACCAACCCAAUGGGAGAAGGUGACGAAGGAAGGUCUCAAGAAGGAAUAGAUGGGCAGCACGAUCAACAUAUAGCUAAUCCAGAUGGUGGACAUUUGGCAAUGGGGGGAGCAUGUGGUGGACAUUUGGGAAUUGCAGAAGCAGACAAUAUAAUGUCCAGCAAAGAUGAUGUAGAUGAGCAGAUGUGUACUCUAGAAGAUGAAGUUUUGUUGGAUCAUCUAGCCACCGUGGAGGCCAUUCACAAGGCACAAACUGACGUUGGCGAAAGGGGUAAGGAACAUAAAAGAAUAAGAGAGGAGGAGGUGGAGGAACAAGAUGCAGUGGACAUGUUGGGGGACCUAUUUGAUGAAGCGAAUGAUCCAUCAAGACAAACAUCUCUUGGUUCGGGAGAGGAAUCAGAUUAUGAUUUUGACGAGUGGACAGACCGGAUAAACAAAGAAUACCCGCCUGAUUGGGAUCCUUAUGUUAAUAUGGCAGUUUUCAACAGUGACGAAUGUCCUCUGUCCACGUACAUGCACUUGCUGAAGACAACAAAUCCAGGAACAAUAACGGACAUGCACACCUCGAUGGACAAAGAUGCGAAUGUACUUUUCAAGUAUAUGUUCUUCGCUUUCGGUGCAUCGAUAUCUGGAUAUAAAUAUCUACGGAAGGUGAUAGUAAUUGAUGGGACGGCCAUGAAGGGGAAGUACAAAGGGUGUCUAGUUGCUGCUAGUGGACAAGAUGGAAAUAUGCAAAUCUAUCCAUUAGCUUUUGGGGUGGUAGAUGGAGAGAACACAGAUGGGUGGGUGUGGUUCUUCAAGAACCUGAAAAAAUUUGUCCCCGACGAAGAAGAUCUUGUCUUUGUGUCUGAUAGACACGCAUCCAUCUAUGCUGGUCUACGGGAAGUUUAUCCUAUAGCACACCAUGGAUCGUGUACUGUGCAUCUUUUCAGGAAUGUGAAGCAUAAUUUCGGGUGUGCUGGCUUGGCAGCAGUUGUUAGCAAGGCGGCAAGGGCGUAUACGGUAGGAGAUUUCCGUGUAUGGUGGGCUGAAAUAGAGGAACGUGAACCAGAGUGUGCGACUUAUCUUAAGGAAAUAGGAUUACCACAUUGGACAUUAUCUCAUUUUCCAGGCGAGUUACAACCUGAUGAGUAGCAAUAUAUCAGAGGCUUUGAAUGCGGCAAUGCAAAAAGCGAUAGAUUAUCCGAUUGUCUCGAUGGUCGAAUUCAUACGGGCAAUGUUGAUGAGGUGGUUUCACUUAAGGAGGAUAAAAGCAGCAAAAACGAGAACUAGAUGUACACCAGAAAUUGAGGCAAUUCUAAUAGACCAUUUGAAGGAUGCCGUAAACUGUGCAGUGUUGUCCGCAAGUGAUUGGGUAUACCAAGUAAACGAUGCUGCAGGGUGUGGUUUCAUCGUGGACCUCGAGAAUAAAACAUGCACUUGCCGCGUUUUUGAUGUAUUGAAGGUACCUUGCUGUCACGCAUUAGCUGCUAGGGGAGUGAGACAGCUAGAUAUAUACAGCUUUGUGGAUCUGAGUUACUUUGUGGAGCCAUGGCGAAAAAAGUAUGAGAAACUCAUUAUGCCGGUGCCUAAGGAGAAGGAUACGGACAUCCCAGCUGUAGUUCAAGAAGUACCUAUUAAUCCGCCUAAGGAAAAACGCGGUGGGGGUAGACCAAAGAAGAGAAGAAUCCCGUCACAAGGGGAGAAACGUCGGGUAAGUAUAAAUGAUUGUGUGGACUAUAACUAGAUUGCGGUGUAUGCUUGGGAUGCUUCUAAUCCACUUUUGGUUACGUCUGUCAAUAAGGUGAGGAAAAGGACAACUCCAUCCAGAUGUGGAAGGUGUAAUGGGGUGGGACACAAUAGGAAGACUUGUUCCAACCUUAUAUGAAGUAGACAAUUUUUCUGCAGGUUCAACGUGUGAUGGCAGACAAAUUAUCUAGUUUUUAGAGGUUUUUGGAUAUUUUGCAGGUUUUUGGAGGAUGAUGGUUUAAUGAUGGUAUAAUUUUUUGUACAAUUCAGAAGGUCUGAUCUGUGGACUAUAAUCGGGGUGUAAUGUCUGUUAUCUAAUUUUGGAUUUGUAAAAUGUGAUUAGUGGACCAGAAUUGGGAAUUUAACUGGUCCACCACAUAUAAUCGGGGUAUGUAUUUUGCGGAGUCUUGUAGAAGUGUUUUGGUCCACAAGUGUAAGGAGUUUGUCGUUUAUGAACAAGCAUUAAACUUGCGGUUGUGUGAUUGUUGUGGCAGUAGUGGGGAAAAAAUACACGUGCGUUGGAUAAUUAGUAUUAGUUAAUCGUAGACAUACUAUAGUUCAAUGGACAAAUCCUCUACGUGGACAUACAUAGAUUGCACUACAUACUACGCUCCAUACUUUCCCAAAGCCAUCCUGAGAGAGACAAUACAGUAUACGUGUGCCCUCAAAUGAGAGGGAAUGAUAAAAAUGUGUGUAAUGGGGAGAUAUAUUUGCACUGACCUGUAAAUUUGGAUGGUCCAGAACUCUUAACUGUUGAAGCGGAAUCUGCAUCACGUUCAAUAUAUAUAUAAGCAAACAACAAUUUACUGCAAGUACAAGACACAUGUCAAGAAGAUCCUUUCUAAGUUAAAUUGGAUUUACCUUGAGCACUGCACACGCCUGAUGCAGCUCAUCUUUCCGAAUGUUUCCCAUACCAUCAGCGUUACCUGCAGCAUAAAAUAAUUCAUCUAGUGUUCAAAAUGAAUUCCAAACUGCAUCUUAGUAAGCAUCCCACUAAGAAAAAUCCACAGUUCGACAACUUUCAAAAGGAAACUAAUACAACAACCAGAAAAAAGUAUGAAAAAGGCAUAUUACCAGUAGACAAGCAUAAUAUGUGAAGAUUGUAUGCAUUGGAAGUGAGGUAGUUUAUCGCUGGAGAAAAGAACCUGUCAAAGACUCAUCUCUCAGCAAAACAAUCUUUGACAAAUCGAUCAAUCAAUAUCCGGAGAGACGCAUUAUCAAAAAUAUCUAACAUUGACUCAUCAUCAGGAUGUGCAAAAACGAACAUAACAUUUUUCUUGUCAGGGGUAUUACUACCUGAAAUCAAGUACAAUAAGAUAAAUCAAAAUUCUGAAAAGAAACAAGUCUUAACCGGUAAAAAAAAUUGUCUUUCCGGCUACUUGCCAUCACCGAUAAUAGCAGCUUUGGAGUUAGAUGUUCCUCCGAAGAAAAUUUUGCAUAAAGAAGCCACCCAGAUAACAAUCAGAGAAAGAGAUACCACAAGCCAUGCCAUCUGAAGAUUUUGAGCAGAUCAGAGACUUUUUCAAUUUAAAGAAUGAACAGAGCCGUGAAGAGAAGAACACUUCCGUCGAUGACUAUGAUCUUUUAUUCUCCGGUACUAAUGCUCUGAGUUCUCUGCCACCGAUGAUCAUCAGUAGGGAUCCGAACCUUUCCCGGCCACGGCUGGGUUUUUUUUUUCCGAUUUCACUUUUUUUUUGUGUACCUGUUUCCGUUUUGUAAAGCCCAUGGGCUUUUUAUGGGUUUUGGCCCUCUUAAUAUGUUUUUGAGAUUGGUGAUUGCGUUUAAGUGCCAAAGCCAGAUUCUUGUAAAAGAGAAAAUGAUGAGUUCGUCACGAGUAGUUAAAGCUAAAACUAUACUUUACGAUAUCUCUAAUUGUAUCAAUUAGGAAGGGAUUAUUAUUGUCUAUACCACAUUUAGAUAGGAAAAAAUCAGAAAUGCCAGUUUCGAUUGUGGCUUAUUAGGAGUGCCACAUUGGAUGAAAAGGGGAGGGACAAAUUGACAAAACUACCCCCUGGGCAGAGAGAGUGUGAUUUCGCGGGUUGCUUCAAAAAUAGAGACCGAUGGGACAACGUUCGGCAGAAAAGAGAGCAUUAAAUGAAGAGGGUGGCAUCUAUUAUCCAGAGGACAACGAUUAACAAAUAAAAACUUUGGAUUCAUUUUAAACAAAUGUUCUGAAUCAAGAAAAAAAAACUCUUAAUUCCAAAAUCACAAUGACACAUGAAUAAAUUGCUUAAAGUAAAGAAACAAUAAAUCUAAUCAGAGAUGGAUUGAUCAAUUGUAAAAAAACCGAAAACACAAAAACAAAAACAAAUCCAAAACCAAAACCAAUACCAAGAACGAAAACAAAACAGUAAAGAUAGAAAUAUACC